Molecule: long non-coding RNA, 563 nt
Organism: Mirounga angustirostris (Northern elephant seal)
Lineage: Eukaryota; Metazoa; Chordata; Mammalia; Carnivora; Phocidae
Exons: 4
Source: RefSeq, a predicted model, not a curated record
UAUGAGUUUGGGUUUUUUAGGUUUCAUAUAUAAGUAAUAUUAUACAUUCCUUGUCUUUCUCUGAUUUCUUUCACUUAGCAUGAUGUCCUCAAGGUCCAUCCAUGUUGUUGCAAAUGUACCUUGGAUAUAUCAUCCCACUGUCUCCUGGCCUAUAAAAUUUCUGCUGAGAAAUCCACUGACAACCUUAUGGAGGUUCCCUUGUGGAUUAAAGCUCAAGUUUGUGGUCUCUCCCUGAACCAAGAUUUGGGCUGGCACAGGUUUUUGUGUGUGCUCACCAGCCAUCUGCCAAAGUUUGCUCUCACCAUUGCCAUUUGGAGCAUGAACAGGGAGCUGUCCACAGGGUGUGAGCGUGUGUGGGGGUUCCCAGACUGUAGCCAUGAGGGGCCAGAGUUGUUUCACAGGCCACUAUGGGGCCCAAAGCCAGAACUGAGGUCUGUAUGCCUGUUACCUGAUGCACAGUUGGGUGAGAUGCCCCUCAGUUUCCUUGGCGAAUGGUGCUGCUCCCACAGUUCCCCACAAAGGUACUUUUGUCUGCAGAUGGAUGUCUAAUUGCUGUUGUUAAG